GGGGGCGUACUGGCUUCGACGUAUUACAAGGGGCUUGUGGUGCAUGUCGAGCGUUUAUUGGGUGCUCGUUAAACAAUCAAUUAAACAAUAAGUGCAAACCAUACGGUUUCACAAUCUGACUACUCAAUGUCUUGCGCAGCUUUUGCGUAAGCUUUAAGAACCUCAGAUUCUUGUUAGCAGAAUUUGCCUAUAAAUUCUUCUAACACGUAUUAUAAAAAAUAGGACUUUUUAAGUCAGGUUACUUGGUUUUGUAACUUAAAUCGUAUACAAAACUGACUUAUACCUAAUGCUGUGUCCUUGCAGUUGGGUAUUCGUAUAAGCAAGGAACAAACAUGUAGUACUGCGGGUUGUUUGUCUUGCGGACAUGGGUUCGAUUCCCAUCGCCUCCAAUA
This 392-nucleotide transfer-messenger RNA is filed under the name Candidatus Babeliales bacterium. It matches the Rfam family "transfer-messenger RNA". From Rfam's summary of the family: Bacterial tmRNA, also known as 10Sa RNA or SsrA, is named for its dual tRNA and mRNA-like properties. Its role is to liberate the mRNA from a stalled ribosome. To accomplish this part of the tmRNA is used as a reading frame that ends in a translation stop signal. Lineage: Bacteria; Candidatus Babeliae; Candidatus Babeliales. The record is from RNAcentral.